Long non-coding RNA from Rhinopithecus roxellana (golden snub-nosed monkey), 489 nucleotides. RefSeq lists it as uncharacterized. Lineage: Eukaryota; Metazoa; Chordata; Mammalia; Primates; Cercopithecidae. The transcript has 3 exons. The record is from RefSeq and is a predicted model, not a curated record.
GUCCCUUAACCAGCUGAGAGCUAAAGGGUCGGGGCCUGAGGGACGGAAGAGAGAGGGGAAGAUGAAGAAAAUCGGUGAUGAAUGGCUGGCGGAUAUGAUUGGCGGAAAGAAAGAGCCAGUCCACAGUGCGCCUUUGCAUGCGGCGGGAAACCCGGCCGAAGACUAAGCUGGAAAGGACUCCGGCAUAUGAAUGGACAAUAAGAUUUCUUGGAUAUUUUCAUGGCGAAGGAUAAGAGUGAAGCUAUCCUGGCCAAGAACUUUGAGAGAGACACCACUUUUCACUCUGAAGGACCAAAAAAUGAGUAGAAAAUUUGGAAUAAAUGUCAACAAGAUUUGAACCCUAAAGAAAAACAAGCAUCUGAAUUAGACAGACGUCCAUAUUCAUUCAGCUGGGAAACUAAAACUGUGCAGUCCCAAUAUCAGAAUUUCCUUGGUCAGUUGGCUACUGUGUGACAGUAUUCUUCUGCAUGACGGCAUUGUCUCUCUACC